GGACUACAGGGGUAUCUAAUCCUGUUUGAUCCCCACGCUUUCGUGCCUCAGUGUCAAUACUCGUGUAGCAAGCUGCCUUCGCUAUCGGUGUUCUAUGUCAUAUCUAAGCAUUUCACCGCUACAUGACAUAUUCCGCUUACCUCCACGAGAUUCAAGAUUUAUAGUAUCAACGGCAGUUUCCAAGUUAAGCUUGGAGAUUUCACCACUGACUUACAAACCCACCUACGCACCCUUUAAACCCAGUGAAUCCGGAUAACGCUUGCACCCUCCGUAUUACCGCGGCUGCUGGCAC
This 292-nucleotide ribosomal RNA is filed under the name uncultured Bacteroidota bacterium. RNAcentral describes it as "uncultured Bacteroidetes bacterium partial 16S ribosomal RNA". Lineage: Bacteria; Pseudomonadati; Bacteroidota. The record is from RNAcentral.